Molecule: ribosomal RNA, 294 nt
Filed under: uncultured bacterium
Lineage: Bacteria
Description: partial 16S ribosomal RNA
Rfam family: Bacterial small subunit ribosomal RNA
Source: RNAcentral
GACGAACGCUGGCGGCGUGCUUAACACAUGCAAGUGGAGCGACGAACCAGGCUUCGGCCUGGGGCAGAGCCGCGAACGGGUGAGUAACACGUGGGUAACCUGCCUCGAUGACCGGGACAACCCGGGGAAACCCGGGCUAAUACCGGAUGUGCUGCCCUCACAUCAGUGAGGGUUGGAAAGAAGCUUCGGCCUCCGCAUCGAGAUGGGCCCGCGGCCCAUUAGCUUGUUGGUGAGGAAAGGCUCACCAAGGCUGCGAUGGGUAGCUGGUCUGAGAGGACGAUCAGCCACACUGGG